Molecule: long non-coding RNA, 1332 nt
Organism: Cyprinus carpio carpio
Lineage: Eukaryota; Metazoa; Chordata; Actinopteri; Cypriniformes; Cyprinidae
Source: Ensembl
GUUGUGUUUUACUUGGUUCUGUCCUGUGUUUCAUGCAUCCUGAGUUUUGUUUAAUACAUUUUAAUAUUGUUGUAAAUAGAUCCUGCUUCAACUACUUCUUUUGCCACCACCUGUGACAGAAUAACGGACCAAAUUAUAAUGGAUCUACCAGCAAAGAAAAUCCUUCUUCUCUCAAAGGGUAACCAGGUAACUAGAGAGGCACACAAAGGAGUUUUUAGGCCUUUGCCAUCUUGUCCCAUAUGAUGACGACUGCCUGUUUGUUUUUUCGGACAAACCUCAACGCUAAAACGAGACUGCGUGUGCCCGGAAAUGAGCCUCUAGGGACUUUCUUGGAGUAAGUGGAGUGGAUACUCCUCCACAACGGUGCCCCCUUCACCAUCUAUAAGAGUGGGGAGGAAGUUGGCGCUUCGGCCACUACCACCACCAGUGAUGCCUGAGACCACCGCAGACAAUGAGCCCAAGCCUGCCACAAUAGGAGAGCCUGAGCUGAAGCCAGAACAUGAAGUCUGACCAAAUCAAAGAAGUCUGAUCAGGUGCGUGAGCUGGCAAAAGUGCCUGUGCCAGUGGGAUUACUGGUGGAGUACAGGGGGAUGUUAUGGAGCCCUACCCCCUCAGCAGCGGCAGAAGAUGGAGUGCUAACGGACUGAGAGAGAUGUGGAGUGAUUUUCAGCUGGAGCUGAGGAGGUUGGUUUAAGGGAAAAGUGUGAUUAUGUGUCUUGCAUAGGGUGGAGGUCACAAAUAAUCGUUCAUCUCAUCAUUCUACUCAUACCUAGACCUUCAUUCACUCUGACUCAGACACAAGGACAUAUGUAUCAGUCUAUAAAUAUUCUGUGCUUACACCUAAAGCAAAUUCACCCUUGUGCAUUCUUAAAGGCAUUCAGUUCAUGUAAGAAUGGAAAAACGGCCUCCCUGAAAAAGAAAUAGAUAACAUAAGGGCACUUACAAACACGUGCGCACACCUUCAAACACUAUGUUAUUAUUUGCAUUCAAAGUGACUGUUAAACUUACUACUACUGACAUGAUGCUAUACUACUAUGACAUAGUACUUGUUAAGCAGUGAAUGAACCAAAAAUGUCUCCUACGUUUCCUAAAAGUCUGCUUGGGUCAUUUGUAGGACAAUCUAGAUAUUUCUUUUUUUUUUUAAAUCAAAUGAAUUGUACAAAGGUGACACAUAAGAAUAAAAUGUUAUGUUAUUAAUGCAAUCUGAAUGUGUAUAUUUCUUAUGUGUAUGACAACUGUACUGAAACAUUCCCCUGUGAAAGUAUAAAAAAAAAAAACCCUUGUGCAUUCAUUAAAUGAGCCACGUGAUGGCACUGUUGUAUUAUAUUCCAG